CCACUCUGGGUCUGGGGAGAAGGAUGUUUUACCUGUCGCCUAUGCUUCAGUCGUUACCUAGGAGACGGGACCCGUCUGGCUGCCUUAGAGUUGGCGCCUGCGCACUGAGAGUUGGCGCCUGCCAGUGGCGUGAGGGGCUUCAUCAGCGCAAAGCAUAUCCGUUGUUUUGCCACAGUUGUCACAGACAUGAAGUUCUGUGAAUCGGAGUAGUGUACUGACAGACUAAUGCACUGAUAGAUGGGACAGAAAGGCAAGAUAAUGUCUUUUGCAGGCUCAGGAGUCAAAGGGCACAUUUGAAUCCUGGCGCACCUCUCUCUAUCCAUGUGAUGUCCUGCAAUUUAAGGUCUGUAUACCCUAGUUUCCUCUUCUGUAUUAAAAAAAAAAAAAAAAAGGAGGCUAUAAUAUUAAUAAUAACCUUAAUAGCCAUAAAGAAAGCUGAGCGCCAGAGAAUUGAUGCUUUUGAACUGUGUUGUUGGCGAGUACUCUUGAGAGUCCCUUGAACUGCAAGGAGAUCCAGCCAGUCCAUCCUAAAGGAAAUCAGUCCUGAAUAUUCAUUGGAAGGAAUGAUGUCGAAGCUGAAGCUCCAAUACUUUGGACAUCCCACGCGAAGAACUGACUCAUUGGAAAAGACCCUGAUGCUGGGAAAGAUUGAGCACAGGAGGAGAAGUAGACGACAGAGGAUGAGAUGGUUGGAUGCCAUCAACGACUCGAUGGACAUGAGUUUGAGCAAACUCCUGGAUGUUGGUGAUGGACAGAGAAGCCUGAUGUGCUGCCGUGCAUGGGGUAGCAAAGAGUCGGACACGGCUGAGUGACGGAACAGAGGUGAACUGGUGUUGCUAUUCCACAUAAAAGGGAUGUCAUAUGCUAUUUUUCCUUCUCUGUCUGACUUACUUACACUCACUAUGGCAAUCUCUAGGCCCAUGUUGCUGCAAAUGGCAUUGGUUUAUUCUUUUUAAUGGUUGAUUAAUAUUCAAUUGUAUAUUGAGAAACCUAUAUGCAGGUCAGGAAGCAACAGUUAGAACUGGACAUGGAACAACA
Bos taurus (domestic cattle) is the source of this 1038-nucleotide long non-coding RNA. The record is from Ensembl. NCBI's taxonomy places the organism in Eukaryota, Metazoa, Chordata, Mammalia, Artiodactyla, Bovidae.